This 401-nucleotide ribosomal RNA is filed under the name uncultured bacterium. RNAcentral describes it as "bacterial SSU rRNA". It matches the Rfam family "Bacterial small subunit ribosomal RNA", at positions 356 to 773 of the family's 1533-position model. The record is from RNAcentral.
GAGGAAUAUUGCACAAUGGGCGAAAGCCUGAUGCAGCAACGCCGCGUGAGGGACGAAGGCCUUCGGGUCGUAAACCUCUUUUCUGAGGGACGAGAAAGGACGGUACCUCAGGAAUAAGUCUCGGCUAACUACGUGCCAGCAGCCGCGGUAACACGUAGGAGGCAAACGUUAUCCGGAAUUACUGGGCGUAAAGCGCACGCAGGCGGCAUCGUAAGUCCGACGUGAAAGCUCCCGGCUUAACUGGGAGAGGCCGUUGGAUACUGCGAAGCUCGAGGUUGGGAGAGGAGAGUGGAAUUCCCGGUGUAGUGGUGGAAUGCGUAGAUAUCGGGAGGAACUCCAGUGGCGAAAGCGACUCUCUGGCCUACACCUGACGCUAAAGUGCGAAAGCGUGGGUAGCGAAC